AGUUAAACCCAAAGAAAGUAUUAUGUUUUGAAAACAUAAAUAUAGAGGUUAAAUUCCUCUUUUAACUU
Molecule: transfer RNA, 68 nt
Filed under: Pseudoglomeris angustifolia
Lineage: Eukaryota; Metazoa; Arthropoda; Insecta; Blattodea; Blaberidae
Description: tRNA-Ser
Rfam family: tRNA
About the family: Transfer RNA (tRNA) molecules are approximately 80 nucleotides in length. Their secondary structure includes four short double-helical elements and three loops (D, anti-codon, and T loops).
Source: RNAcentral